RNAcentral lists this unclassified non-coding RNA (1326 nucleotides) under Zea mays. RNAcentral describes it as "misc RNA Zm00001eb065110". Lineage: Eukaryota; Viridiplantae; Streptophyta; Magnoliopsida; Poales; Poaceae. The record is from RNAcentral.
CCGCCGCCGCGCCGCCCGCCACCGACACCCUGGCGGCGCGGCGCGCCGUGGCGGCGUCCCCGGCGCCCAGCUCGUUGGACACGCGCACCGACGCGCUGACGGACAGCGACAGCAUGGCCGCGAACAGCAGGUAGUCGAAGUUGAGCGUGACGGCGACCACGCCCACCGUGCGGCGCGCGUCGGGGAGGCGCCCCGUGAGGAGCACCAGGAUCUCGUAGGACCACCACUCGAGGCAGGUGUUGAGGCAGCAGGGGACGGCCAGGCGGAGGAGCAGCAGCCAGCCGGCGGCCGCCGCCGCCGCUAUCGGCUUCGACGUUGUCCCCCGCUGGCGCCGGAGGUCGUGGGCGAGCGCGUAGGCGGCGAGCAUGAGCGCCAGCGCGAGGUCGCUGAGCCAGACGGCGGCGGCCACGCCCCGGACGCCCAUCCUGGCGGAGAGCGAGACGGUGAGCAGGAUGUGGAGCGCCAGCGCCAGGGCAGCGGCGAACAGAGUGGGCAGCGUGGCCUCCUGCGCGCUGAGGUACGCCUUGAGCGGGUUGAGCACGGAGGUGACGGCGAGGUCCGGGAGGAGGCAGAGCACGUAGGUCCUGGCCGUGGCCGCGAUGUCGGGCUGCUGGCCGAAGCGCAGCAGCACGGCGUCGACGCGCGUCCAGAGGAGCGCGAUGGGGACGGAGGCGGCCAGGAGCAUGAGGGUGGCCCUGAGCAGCGUCCCGCGCAGGAGGGCGACGUUUCCGGCGCCGUGCGCCUGGCCGCAGAUGGGCUCCAUGGCGCCGCAGAGGCCGCUGAGGACGGCGAAGCCGGUGACGUUGGCGAAGCUGUAGCCGAGCGUGCCGGCGGCCAGCUCCAGGUCGCCGAGGCGGCCGAGGAAGGCCGUGGUCACGGCCUGCUUGGCGAACCAGGUGAGGUUCAUGCCGAUGAGAGGGAGCGCGAUGCCGCGCUGCGCGCGCACCUCGGACGCAACAGCGGCCAGGCCAUGCUGCUGCCUUGGCGGUGGUGUCGUCAUGGUCAUGGCUGCUGCGUGAGCGAGCGAGCAGAUGGAGAUGGAGUUUGGUUUGCUUUGGUUUGUUGGGGUUACAGGCAGCACAUAUCCACAUACUAGUAUACAUACUUUACUUAGGCUGCCUGCUUUAUUUCUGCUUUCUUCCAUGAAUGGAUCGUAACGGUUCUGCACAUCUCCUCCUCUUUCUCUGCUUUCUAGUGCAUUAUUACAUGUAUCGUCCAUGACCCCCCUCCGCUAGCUUGUUGACACUGUCACGUACCUCGCAUGCGUGGUGUAGACAUGGCCGGCAUGCAUCUCUUGCUACUGCCCCCCUGCCAACCUCACCCGAC